Molecule: ribosomal RNA, 2902 nt
Filed under: Escherichia coli HVH 27 (4-7449267)
Lineage: Bacteria; Pseudomonadati; Pseudomonadota; Gammaproteobacteria; Enterobacterales; Enterobacteriaceae
Also listed under: 4 other names
Description: bacterial LSU rRNA
Rfam family: Bacterial large subunit ribosomal RNA
Source: RNAcentral
UUAAGCGACUAAGCGUACACGGUGGAUGCCCUGGCAGUCAGAGGCGAUGAAGGACGUGCUAAUCUGCGAUAAGCGUCGGUGAGGUGAUAUGAACCGUUAUAACCGGCGAUUUCCGAAUGGGGAAACCCAGUGUGUUUCGACACACUAUCAUUAACUGAAUCCAUAGGUUAAUGAGGCGAACCGGGGGAACUGAAACAUCUAAGUACCCCGAGGAAAAGAAAUCAACCGAGAUUCCCCCAGUAGCGGCGAGCGAACGGGGAGGAGCCCAGAGCCUGAAUCAGUGUGUGUGUUAGUGGAAGCGUCUGGAAAGGCGUGCGAUACAGGGUGACAGCCUCGUACACAAAAAUGCACAUAUUGUGAGCUCGAUGAGUAGGGCGGGACACGUGGUAUCCUGUCUGAAUAUGGGGGGACCAUCCUCCAAGGCUAAAUACUCCUGACUGACCGAUAGUGAACCAGUACCGUGAGGGAAAGGCGAAAAGAACCCCGGCGAGGGGAGUGAAAAAGAACCUGAAACCGUGUACGUACAAGCAGUGGGAGCCUCUUAAUGGGGUGACUGCGUACCUUUUGUAUAAUGGGUCAGCGACUUAUAUUCUGUAGCAAGGUUAACCGAAUAGGGGAGCCGAAGGGAAACCGAGUCUUAACUGGGCGUUAAGUUGCAGGGUAUAGACCCGAAACCCGGUGAUCUAGCCAUGGGCAGGUUGAAGGUUGGGUAACACUAACUGGAGGACCGAACCGACUAAUGUUGAAAAAUUAGCGGAUGACUUGUGGCUGGGGGUGAAAGGCCAAUCAAACCGGGAGAUAGCUGGUUCUCCCCGAAAGCUAUUUAGGUAGCGCCUCGUGAAUUCAUCUCCGGGGGUAGAGCACUGUUUCGGCAAGGGGGUCAUCCCGACUUACCAACCCGAUGCAAACUGCGAAUACCGGAGAAUGUUAUCACGGGAGACACACGGCGGGUGCUAACGUCCGUCGUGAAGAGGGAAACAACCCAGACCGCCAGCUAAGGUCCCAAAGUCAUGGUUAAGUGGGAAACGAUGUGGGAAGGCCCAGACAGCCAGGAUGUUGGCUUAGAAGCAGCCAUCAUUUAAAGAAAGCGUAAUAGCUCACUGGUCGAGUCGGCCUGCGCGGAAGAUGUAACGGGGCUAAACCAUGCACCGAAGCUGCGGCAGCGACACUAUGUGUUGUUGGGUAGGGGAGCGUUCUGUAAGCCUGUGAAGGUGGCCUGUGAGGGUUGCUGGAGGUAUCAGAAGUGCGAAUGCUGACAUAAGUAACGAUAAAGCGGGUGAAAAGCCCGCUCGCCGGAAGACCAAGGGUUCCUGUCCAACGUUAAUCGGGGCAGGGUGAGUCGACCCCUAAGGCGAGGCCGAAAGGCGUAGUCGAUGGGAAACAGGUUAAUAUUCCUGUACUUGGUGUUACUGCGAAGGGGGGACGGAGAAGGCUAUGUUGGCCGGGCGACGGUUGUCCCGGUUUAAGCGUGUAGGCUGGUUUUCCAGGCAAAUCCGGAAAACCAAGGCUGAGGCGUGAUGACGAGGCACUACGGUGCUGAAGCGACAAAUGCCCUGCUUCCAGGAAAAGCCUCUAAGCAUCAGGUAACAUCAAAUCGUACCCAAAACCGACACAGGUGGUCAGGUAGAGAAUACCAAGGCGCUUGAGAGAACUCGGGUGAAGGAACUAGGCAAAAUGGUGCCGUAACUUCGGGAGAAGGCACGCUGAUAUGUAGGUGAAGCGACUCGCUCGUGGAGCUGAAAUCAGUCGAAGAUACCAGCUGGCUGCAACUGUUUAUUAAAAACACAGCACUGUGCAAACACGAAAGUGGACGUAUACGGUGUGACGCCUGCCCGGUGCCGGAAGGUUAAUUGAUGGGGUUAGCGGUAACGCGAAGCUCUUGAUCGAAGCCCCGGUAAACGGCGGCCGUAACUAUAACGGUCCUAAGGUAGCGAAAUUCCUUGUCGGGUAAGUUCCGACCUGCACGAAUGGCGUAAUGAUGGCCAGGCUGUCUCCACCCGAGACUCAGUGAAAUUGAACUCGCUGUGAAGAUGCAGUGUACCCGCGGCAAGACGGAAAGACCCCGUGAACCUUUACUAUAGCUUGACACUGAACAUUGAGCCUUGAUGUGUAGGAUAGGUGGGAGGCUUUGAAGUGUGGACGCCAGUCUGCAUGGAGCCGACCUUGAAAUACCACCCUUUAAUGUUUGAUGUUCUAACGUUGGCCCGUAAUCCGGGUUGCGGACAGUGUCUGGUGGGUAGUUUGACUGGGGCGGUCUCCUCCUAAAGAGUAACGGAGGAGCACGAAGGUUGGCUAAUCCUGGUCGGACAUCAGGAGGUUAGUGCAAUGGCAUAAGCCAGCUUGACUGCGAGCGUGACGGCGCGAGCAGGUGCGAAAGCAGGUCAUAGUGAUCCGGUGGUUCUGAAUGGAAGGGCCAUCGCUCAACGGAUAAAAGGUACUCCGGGGAUAACAGGCUGAUACCGCCCAAGAGUUCAUAUCGACGGCGGUGUUUGGCACCUCGAUGUCGGCUCAUCACAUCCUGGGGCUGAAGUAGGUCCCAAGGGUAUGGCUGUUCGCCAUUUAAAGUGGUACGCGAGCUGGGUUUAGAACGUCGUGAGACAGUUCGGUCCCUAUCUGCCGUGGGCGCUGGAGAACUGAGGGGGGCUGCUCCUAGUACGAGAGGACCGGAGUGGACGCAUCACUGGUGUUCGGGUUGUCAUGCCAAUGGCACUGCCCGGUAGCUAAAUGCGGAAGAGAUAAGUGCUGAAAGCAUCUAAGCACGAAACUUGCCCCGAGAUGAGUUCUCCCUGACUCCUUGAGGGUCCUGAAGGAACGUUGAAGACGACGACGUUGAUAGGCCGGGUGUGUAAGCGCAGCGAUGCGUUGAGCUAACCGGUACUAAUGAACCGUGAGGCUUAACCUU